UUUUUUCUUUUUUUUUUUAUUAAUUAAUAAUGUAAAACAAAGAGUAAAUAACAAAGACUCUUAAGUUUUUCUCUUCCAAAAUGAAAGGAUUUUUUCUUUUUCUUUUUCUUUUUUCCUAUUUUGUCUAGGAGAAAUGUAUUUAGAGGCAUUUUUUAAACACCGCUAAGCGCUAAGCGUAGAAAAAAAGGCCGAGAACUUUAUCUUGGCGUUUUCAUUGCGUCUACAAUAUCUAUGUCGGGAAGUUAAUUUACUCGGCGCAAACCAAACAUUAGUGAUCGCUCGUGUACUUCAGAACAAGUAAUUGAAUCGACAUGCAUAUUCCUUUGUUGCUUUUACUCGUACAUGUCUUCGAUAUGGGCUAUGAUUAACUUGUAAAGGGGUGCCGAUACAACGGCAUAGCCAGUAUAUUUACGGUGCCUCGUGGCAGGGUACUGGGAUUGUUGGAAGCAAGAAUGUUGACUUUUGUUCUUGACCGAACAUUCGAUGUGGGAUAGCCGAACGUUCGAGACCAACUCUAAUGUUGAAUGUUCGAUGUUGGAAGUCAAAAUGUUCGAACAUUUGUCAUAUGUAUAGUCGACGUAUAUCAGAAGUAAAACCCACGCGUCUGGUAUGUAUGUCAAAAGGUACAUUGAACGUUCGAUCUAACCUAAAAUCGUUGGAUAAACAGUACACUGAACAUUCGACAAAACUAAUCGAACGUUCGACGUUUGGCAAAAAUGUGUAAGAAGAGCUCAUGCAUCCUUAUCUUCAAACACAAGAUCCCUAUAAAUACCCCCCACCCUCACCCCUUUCACCUCAUUUCUGCCUCUUUCUUCAAUAUGAUCCUAAAGUGAAAGUGAAAGAGUGUUUUGGAGAGAGAGAAUGAGCUCUCUUAGUUCUUGCUCCUCGAAGGAGCAUUCUGCAAGGUAGGGGCUUGAACGCAACACAGAAGAGCUCGAGCGCACCACAUAAGGGCUCAAGUGCACAAGAUUGGGAUCAAGUGCAUUCAGCGGCGUCAAAAUGCAAAGUAGCAGCAGCACUGUAGAGAAAAGAAGAAAAAGAAAAGAAUAUAAGCGUCGCGGAAAUGCAGAGUAGCAGCAGCAAUGCAAGGAAAAGAAGAAAAAGAAGAGAAUAUAGGGGCCAAAAUGCAUCCUGCAGUGCAUAAAAAUAGAUAAAACAUUGAACAAAAAUUGAUUUCUUCAUGAGGAGGAAAGGUCAAGAAUUUACCUAAUUGUAAUG
Molecule: long non-coding RNA, 1218 nt
Organism: Alnus glutinosa
Lineage: Eukaryota; Viridiplantae; Streptophyta; Magnoliopsida; Fagales; Betulaceae
Exons: 4
Source: RefSeq, a predicted model, not a curated record